Non-coding RNA from Triticum aestivum (bread wheat), 119 nucleotides. NCBI's taxonomy places the organism in Eukaryota, Viridiplantae, Streptophyta, Magnoliopsida, Poales, Poaceae. The record is from Rfam.
GGAUGCGAUCAUACCAGCACUAAAGCACCGGAUCCCAUCAGAACUCCGAAGUUAACUGUGCUUGGGCGAGACUAGUACUAGGAUGGGUGACCUCCUAGGAAGUCCUCCUUUUGCAUGCC